This 24-nucleotide non-coding RNA is filed under the name Rattus norvegicus (Norway rat). The record is from RNAcentral. Lineage: Eukaryota; Metazoa; Chordata; Mammalia; Rodentia; Muridae.
CAGCACAUGUCGCAGUCAGCCUAA